CUAUGCCUGGUCCCAACUUCUUAAAAUUAAAUUUUGGGGAAGUUCAUGGAGAUAUUUUUGACAUGUAAAAGUAGAAAACAAACCAUCCAUAGUGUGUGCAUAUAUACACACAAGGUUUGGUUUAAUAUACUUGCUGUGCACUAGUCAGUUUUGAUUCAGGUUACAUAAGGGAUAAAAUAUAGAAAGACAUUUUAAAGUUUGAAAUAUGUGCUAAGUAGUUAGAGAUUUGGCAGUUUUGCCACAUUUCAAAUGGGCCAAACAUUAAAAUAACUUAUCCAUGAAUUUCAGGUUUCAAGGAAGGAGGAAUAUCUGACUAUUUUUUUUUGUGUGUGAGAUUUGGUCUCAGCUUUUUGGUCCAUCUGAAUCCUGGAAGUCCCCAACUCUACCAGACCAAAAGGGUGUCUCUAUUUUUUGUUGUUACUUCUCUGUUCUUGAUGUAAUGAGUUAAGUAGAUGAAAGAGAUUAAGGUGCAGGGAAGGGCUCUUAAAAGUUUAAUGUUUCAGCUUUCCAUAGUCAUUCAUACUUGUGAAUCUUCUUCCUCUUCUACUUCAAAGUAGCCAAAACUUGGAAAGUUCAAAUUAAUCUUUGGGCUCCAAAGAGCAAUUCUGAAGGAUUAACAGGUUUCAUUCUCUCCAGUGGGAGGUGGCCUAGACAGGUGCCGGUUUUGGGGAGAGGUGAGAGUACCCAGAUGUGGGUGACUAUUUCCUGUUCUUCCCUGAAAGUCAGGCCAGUGGUCUCGAAUCAUUCCCACAGCAACUGCUACAAAAGUGACUAUCUUAAUCCUUUGGCUAGAUGGGAUACCUCUUCUACCUUUUCAGAGGUGAGCUGUUGAGUAGUAAUGUCCGCUACAACACCACGCUCCCGGAAUGGUGGUUCCUAAGAGCAAAGUCAGUUAAUACAAUUUCUCCAGGUAUCCAGCUAUCUCCAGGUGUGCGGUCCUGUGAAGCACUCUAAGAACUGUAAAAAAUAUUUCAUAGGUAUAGAAGGCAUUUGUAAUACUGUUGGUUCAAAUGUGCUGACAUGUAGCCAGUGGAGGAAGAUGUUUCUUUGGAAGCCUGCCAUCUUUCUGUAACGCACCUUCAACCUGAGAUAAUUAAGAGUCAUUACGUUUCCCAGUCCCAUGUCACAUUGACCAGUCCUGUGGUCCUAUGGCUAAGCGGAGGACACGGCCACAAGCUGUGAGUCAUGAAAAGGAGGGUGCAGGUGAUAGGCAAAGGGACCCAUUAGCCAGUUUACAAUGACUGGCAACUGACCAGAUAGAGCUUACCGUAUGUCCAUGUAGAGUUGCUCAUAUUAGUCUGUAAAUAAUUCUAUGCAUAGUGAAUGCAGCUUCUGAAUUAUUAAACUGAUGCUAUAAAUGUGAACUGACAAAACCCA
Molecule: long non-coding RNA, 1377 nt
Filed under: Homo sapiens (human)
Lineage: Eukaryota; Metazoa; Chordata; Mammalia; Primates; Hominidae
Description: non-protein coding lnc-SV2B-3:1
Source: RNAcentral